UACAGGGGGUGCUAGCGUUGUUCGGAUUUACUGGGCGUAAAGCGCACGUAGGCGGUUUGUUAAGUGAGAGGUGAAAUCCCAGAGCUCAACUCUGGAACUGCCUUUCAUACUGGCAAGCUAGAGUCCGGAAGAGGUAAGUGGAACUCCUAGUGUAGAGGUGGAAUUCGUAGAUAUUAGGAAGAACACCAGUGGCGAAGGCGGCUUACUGGUCCGGAACUGACGCUGAGGCAUGAAAGCGUGGG
RNAcentral lists this ribosomal RNA (242 nucleotides) under uncultured bacterium. Its description in RNAcentral is "partial 16S ribosomal RNA". It matches the Rfam family "Bacterial small subunit ribosomal RNA", at positions 524 to 765 of the family's 1533-position model. The record is from RNAcentral.